CCUACGGGUUGCACCAGUGGGGAAUAUUGCACAAUGGGCGCAAGCCUGAUGCAGCCAUGCCGCGUGUAUGAAGAAGGCCUUCGGGUUGUAAAGUACUUUCAGCGGGGAGGAAGGUGUUGUGGUUAAUAACCACAGCAAUUGACGUUACCCGCAGAAGAAGCACCGGCUAACUCCGUGCCAGCAGCCGCGGUAAUACGGAGGGUGCAAGCGUUAAUCGGAAUUACUGGGCGUAAAGCGCACGCAGGCGGUCUGUCAAGUCGGAUGUGAAAUCCCCGGGCUCAACCUGGGAACUGCAUUCGAAACUGGCAGACUAGAGUACUGUAGAGGGGGGUAGAAUUUCAGGUGUAGCGGUGAAAUGCGUAGAGAUCUGAAGGAAUACCGGUGGCGAAGGCGGCCCCCUGGACAGAUACUGACACUCAGAUGCGAAAGCGUGGGGAGCAAACAGGAUUAGAUACCCGGGUAGUC
Molecule: ribosomal RNA, 465 nt
Filed under: uncultured bacterium
Lineage: Bacteria
Description: bacterial SSU rRNA
Rfam family: Bacterial small subunit ribosomal RNA
Source: RNAcentral